Long non-coding RNA from Ornithodoros turicata, 531 nucleotides. RefSeq lists it as uncharacterized. The record is from RefSeq and is a predicted model, not a curated record. Lineage: Eukaryota; Metazoa; Arthropoda; Arachnida; Ixodida; Argasidae. The transcript has 3 exons.
GAACAGGCACAGAGCCUCUGCAACCACGCCUAACAACCUGGACUGCUGUCGCUGAUUAUGCAUCAGAUAUCAUAGAGACACGGCCUCCCGAACAAUGCACACCUCCAUCCAGCUACCCCUGCGGCAACAGUUCCUUCGCAUCUGGCCCACCCCAAGCUACCUCUCUGGCGCCUCUUUCACAGUCAUCCGGUGCUGAGAUACCACCGUUACCACUGCGCCAUAAUGAUGUUGGUAAUCUUUCUGCUGAAGACCAUCCAGCCCAUCCACCCUGUAUAGAAGAUCUCUCAUGUGUGGGACACGAACAAGAUUCUAUGUGCCAUGCAGGACACGAUGUUUGGUUGGCCAAGGCAGUCUGGGACAAAGUCUUCCAGUACAAGGAAGACUCAAUGUUUAUAAAACAGGCUGCCUUGGCCAUCUGGCCAGCAUCAGUGCUUCAGGGGAAGACGGUCACGGGCACCCUCUCAAACCGGGUGAUUUCUGAAGGCCACACCCAAAUUAAGCAAGCCCUGACACCAAGAAAGAUGAACGCCC